This 497-nucleotide ribosomal RNA is filed under the name uncultured bacterium. RNAcentral describes it as "partial 16S ribosomal RNA". It matches the Rfam family "Bacterial small subunit ribosomal RNA", at positions 28 to 507 of the family's 1533-position model. The record is from RNAcentral.
GACGAACGCUGGCGGCGUGCCUAAUACAUGCAAGUAGAACGCUGAAGAGAGGAGCUUGCUCUUCUUGGAUGAGUUGCGAACGGGUGAGUAACGCGUAGGUAACCUGCCUUGUAGCGGGGGAUAACUAUUGGAAACGAUAGCUAAUACCGCAUAACAAUGGAUGACACAUGUCAUUUAUUUGAAAGGGGCAAUUGCUCCACUACAAGAUGGACCUGCGUUGUAUUAGCUAGUAGGUGAGGUAAUGGCUCACCUAGGCGACGAUACAUAGCCGACCUGAGAGGGUGAUCGGCCACACUUGGACUGGGACACGGCCCAGACUCCUAAGGGAGGCCGCAGUAGGGAAUCUUCGGCAAUGGGGGCAAACCUGACCGAGCAACGCCGCGUGAGUGAAGGAGGUUUUCCGAUCGUAAAGCUCUGUUUUAAGUCAAGAACGGGUGUGAGAGUGGAAAGUGCACACUGUGACGGUAGCUUACCAGAAAGGGACGGCUAACUACGUG